UUAUUGGAGAGUUUGAUCCUGGCUCAGGACGAACGCUGGCGGCAUGCCUAAUACAUGCAAGUCGAGCGGA
This 70-nucleotide non-coding RNA is filed under the name Paenibacillus pabuli. RNAcentral describes it as "partial 16S ribosomal RNA". It matches the Rfam family "Bacterial small subunit ribosomal RNA", at positions 1 to 70 of the family's 1533-position model. Lineage: Bacteria; Bacillati; Bacillota; Bacilli; Caryophanales; Paenibacillaceae. RNAcentral also lists the same sequence under 6 other names. The record is from RNAcentral.